CAUUUCCAUUCAAGAGUUCUUAUGCAUUAAGCUUCAUCUCUCUUUUCUCCACGUGUACUCAACAAGGACCACGAAUAACAAAUGCUAAACACAUUUAGAAUGGAGAAGAAUAUUCAUCAGUCGCCAUUCUUUUUUACAAAGAAACCAUCAAACUUGCUAAACGUUUCUUUUUCUUUUCAUCUUUCCCCUUUUGUUUUCAUGCCGGUCAACAUUUAGCAUAGCACAAAGAAACUUCCUGUUACAUAUUAUAGGAAGAGGAG
RNAcentral lists this unclassified non-coding RNA (260 nucleotides) under Hevea brasiliensis (rubber tree). The record is from RNAcentral. Lineage: Eukaryota; Viridiplantae; Streptophyta; Magnoliopsida; Malpighiales; Euphorbiaceae.